This is a non-coding RNA of Pocillopora verrucosa, 387 nucleotides long. Lineage: Eukaryota; Metazoa; Cnidaria; Anthozoa; Scleractinia; Pocilloporidae. The record is from RefSeq and is a predicted model, not a curated record.
UUUCUGUUAAAUGUGGCGGCCAUAACUCGACCUAAUCGAAGUUAUAAUUUUGCAAAGGCUUCAGUCGUGAAACACUGGUCACAUCCCUACAUCAACGAUGACCUCGAUCAGAAAGAUUUCUUUGCACUUAAACUGGAUACCCUGUAGAUGCCACAGGUUACUUGAAGAUCAUGCAAGUGGAUUAGAUGUCUAGUGAUUGGGAUGUGCAGUUAUGUUUAAGCAGUGAUUGUUUUCCUUUGCAAUCCAACUGUUGGGAGAACCAGUUUCUCAAUCCAUGGUAAAGUCCUGGGAGGUUUCUUGAUCAAAGUAAACAGCAAACAGUAAACAGAAGAAAAUGGUUCAAGAAUUCUGCUGACUGCCAAGUCCUUUAAUUAUUUUUAUCUGAAC